AGUGGGGUCUGGGAAACGAGCAAAACCAGAGGUUCAACCAGGCUCCAGGGGAAACGCCUGCAGUCCUCCCUAAAUGUCCUUCCUAAGUUUGUGUCUCCCGUCAGUUUGCCAUCUGAGCUGGCACCCUCAGAGAACUCGACCCCCCAUCCCCAAACUGGACCAAAAGGUCAGCUCUCCACUUGGCCUUUCCAGAGGCCACAGCCCAACCUUAAGGGUGAGAAAGCCACACCGAGCGUGUCCACGCACUUCUAAGCUCCCUUCUAAGCUCCGGUGCAGUCUCCCUUCUGAUCCCCGAGCCGGUUUUUGGCAGAGAUGGGUCGGGCUGGGGACUCUUUGGCCUGGCAUCCCCGCAGCCAACUGGCUCAGCCUUCGAAGAGGCCCGGGCUGAACCUCACGUCACCCCUGCUUUGCAAAGCAGCAGGGCCAAGUGCUCUGGCAGGAGAAAGGCCUUUUUUGGUAACGCUGAGCCUGGCGGUUAAGCAGGACCCGGUCAAAACAAACGUCUGGGCUGGGCCCUCCUCCGGCCUCUCCAAGGGCCCCCAUCCCCGCGAGCCAGGAACCACCCCCACCCACCGACCCCCGGGCUCUAGGGGUGGGAGAAUCGAUCUGCGAUCCGCAAGGACUUUGGGGGUGAAGAAUGUCACUGCCAUCCCAACAGAUGCAAAAUUAUGCACACAUUAACGCCAGUUAUUUCGGAGGUAAAAUGAGUCACUGGUCAGCUUUGAGCAAAAUGUUAUAACUGUGCUUCUCUGGCAUCCUCUGAGACUUUUCCUUCUGUCUCUCCCUCUCUGGGUUUUCAAUACCCUGGCCUUAGGUAGGGGUGAUGGAGGAAAAUCUGAAGCUCUAGAAUACAGCAAAGUAUUAGGGAACUCACUGAAUUACCCUACCUACCUUUACAAGAACAGUUGCAUUUUAAAUAUCCACCCCCGAGGAGGACCCCGGGCUGAAUGAUGAAGUUUGGGAAGGAAGAAUGUGGAGAGGGGGCAUUUUAUGGUGGAAAGACCCUCCGUCCAGAUCUACAAGCCAUCUCCUAUGAGAAACCACCCUUUGCUCUCACCUAAUUCAGGUAACAUGGGCUGUGCACACGCACCCAGUCUUUCCUGUCCUAUCUUUGGGCUAGAGGCCCUUGAAUAACUCUAGCUGUUGCCCUCAAAACACUUGUAGCCCAGGGGCGCCAGGAUGGCUCAGUCAGUUAAAUGUCCUACUCUUGAGUUCCCCUUGGGUCAUGAUCCUGGGGUCAGCUCGGGAUCAUGUGAGAUCAAGCCCCUGGAGGGGGGGGGCGGCUCUGCGCUCAGUGAGGAUUCUGCUCAAGAUUCCCUCUCUCUGUUCCUCCCCCCAC
This 1339-nucleotide long non-coding RNA is filed under the name Mustela putorius furo (domestic ferret). RNAcentral's name for it is "lncRNA (ENSMPUG00000025756.1)". The record is from RNAcentral. Lineage: Eukaryota; Metazoa; Chordata; Mammalia; Carnivora; Mustelidae.